AUCUGUGAUGCCCUUAGAUGUUCUGGGCUGCACGCGCGCUACACUGAUGCAUGCAACGAGUUUUUACCUUGGCCGACAGGUCUGGGUAAUCUUUUGAGUGUGCAUCGUGAUGGGGAUAGAUUAUUGCAAUUAUUAAUCUUCAAGAANGAAUGCCUAGUAGGCAAGUCAGCCAGGCGCAGA
This 180-nucleotide ribosomal RNA is filed under the name Eimeria tenella. RNAcentral's name for it is "partial small subunit ribosomal RNA". It matches the Rfam family "Eukaryotic small subunit ribosomal RNA", at positions 1460 to 1644 of the family's 1831-position model. Lineage: Eukaryota; Apicomplexa; Conoidasida; Eucoccidiorida; Eimeriidae. The record is from RNAcentral.